Non-coding RNA from Salvia hispanica, 877 nucleotides. The record is from RefSeq and is a predicted model, not a curated record. Lineage: Eukaryota; Viridiplantae; Streptophyta; Magnoliopsida; Lamiales; Lamiaceae.
CCUUGCCCCAGCAACGAAGCAAUGCAGCUUCCAAUGUGCACAAGAGGCCCCUCUUUCCCGAGAUCUAGCCCGGCAGAGACAGCUCCGAUGCUUCCAAUAAUCUACAAUUCAAGGAAUUCCCGGGCCAGCCGCUGUAGGUGCAAAUAAAACACAGAGAAGUGCAGCCACCAAGCCAGAAGCUUGUAUCCAGCUAUAUUCUCAACAGCAAGAUUGAUCAAAGUUGCUAUCCCACCUGUGAGAAUCCCAACCAAGAAUGCCAGCAGCCAUUUCAUCAGUAUGUAUUGCAACACUUGAACUUUUGAUCUGCUUCUCCAAUCUUGCUUGAACAGAUCAUUCUCAUUGAUCCUGAUACCAAAAGCCCACAACACAAAUUCAAGGAAAAUUCAAAACUUGUGAAGUUGAAUUUCUGAAAUUCUCAAGAAAUCAAAGUGGUAUUUUUUUCUUACUCAUAAUCCAAGCUCUCAAUAUGAGAAACCUUGGUUCCAACAAUGGCGAGGGGGCUUGAGGAGAGGGUUCUGUUUCUCUUGAGGAGAGGGUGGUGAAGAUCAUUGCUUUCUGGGUCAUUGAAAUCAUCAUAUUCUUGUUGAUAUCUUUCUGCUUCUGAUUCUACAAACCUGUUGACCUCCUCCAUCAGCUCAGUGGCCGAAGAGAGAGAGAUGUUGGGAAUAGAAAGUGCACUAUUUCUUUUCCUCUGAUAUUGGAAUAUAUAUAUACAAAAAAAAAUAAUGGUGGUAUUGGGCAGUUAGUUAUAUUGUCUUCUUGCAAAGGAUGAAUGUGUUUUUGUGAUUAAUUCUGUUGUCGGAAAGCUGUCCCAUAAAUUUCUCCAAAAGGCUUUUACAUUGGAUGAAUUUGUUGAUUUAAAAAAUCUUAACUGCAA